RNAcentral lists this ribosomal RNA (253 nucleotides) under uncultured bacterium. RNAcentral's name for it is "partial 16S ribosomal RNA". It matches the Rfam family "Bacterial small subunit ribosomal RNA", at positions 524 to 776 of the family's 1533-position model. The record is from RNAcentral.
UACAGGGGGUGCAAACGUUGCUCGGAAUCAUUGGGCGUAAAGCGCACGUGGGCGGUUCGUUAUGUCGGAUGUGAAAGCCCUUGGCUUAACCGAGGAAGUGCAUCCGAAACUGGCGAGCUAGAGUACGAAAGAGGAUCGCGGAAUUCCCGGUGUAGAGGUGAAAUUCGUAGAUAUCGGGAGGAACACCGGUGGCGAAGGCGGCGAUCUGGGUCGAUACUGACGCUGAGGUGCGAAAGCGUGGGGAGCAAACAGG